GGGGGCGUAGCUCAAUUGGUUAGAGCUCCUGACUGUCGAUCAGGAGGUUGCGGGUUCAAGUCCCGUCGCUCCCGCCA
Molecule: transfer RNA, 77 nt
Filed under: Candidatus Omnitrophota bacterium
Lineage: Bacteria; Pseudomonadati; Candidatus Omnitrophota
Description: tRNA-Asp
Rfam family: tRNA
About the family: Transfer RNA (tRNA) molecules are approximately 80 nucleotides in length. Their secondary structure includes four short double-helical elements and three loops (D, anti-codon, and T loops).
Source: RNAcentral